UAAGGAAUAUUGGUCAAUGGACGCAAGUCUGAACCAGCCAUGCCGCGUGAAGGAUGAAGGUCCUCUGGAUUGUAAACUUCUUUUAUCUGGGACGAAAACGGGAUUUUUAUCUCAAUUGACGGUACCAGAGGAAUAAGCACCGGCUAACUCCGUGCCAGCAGCCGCGGUAAUACGGAGGGUACGAGCGUUAUCCGGAUUUACUGGGUUUAAAGGGUGCGUAGGUGGGCUUAUAAGUCAGUGGUGAAAUCUCCGAGCUUAACUUGGAAACUGCCGUUGAUACUAUAGGUCUUGAACGAUCUGGAGGUGAGCGGAAUAUGUCAUGUAGCGGUGAAAUGCUUAGAUAUGACAUAGAACACCAAUUGCGAAGGCAGCUUACUACAUAUAAAUUGACGCUGAGGCACGAAAGCGUGGGGAUCAAACA
Molecule: ribosomal RNA, 421 nt
Filed under: uncultured bacterium
Lineage: Bacteria
Description: bacterial SSU rRNA
Rfam family: Bacterial small subunit ribosomal RNA
Source: RNAcentral